Molecule: long non-coding RNA, 250 nt
Filed under: Elaeis guineensis (African oil palm)
Lineage: Eukaryota; Viridiplantae; Streptophyta; Magnoliopsida; Arecales; Arecaceae
Description: long non-coding RNA (EGUI_LNC063584)
Source: RNAcentral
CCCAUGACCAAUCCCUCAUGCAUAAACACUAAUUUCAUAUCAUAAAUUAAAAUUUUUAGAUCUAAAUUUUUUAUAUGAAGUGUAAAUUUUGAUCUCGAAAUAAUUUCAGAUCAUGAAUACAAAUAUGUAUCACAUACAUAAACAAGUUAAGGUUAUAGAAAUAAUUUCAGCCCUAAACAUGCUUUCAUAUAUCAUAUAUAUGAAUUAAAACAUAUCUCGAAACUCUUUUUAGAUCUAAAUAAUAAAAUAU